This 508-nucleotide ribosomal RNA is filed under the name uncultured bacterium. Its description in RNAcentral is "partial 16S ribosomal RNA". It matches the Rfam family "Bacterial small subunit ribosomal RNA", at positions 28 to 507 of the family's 1533-position model. The record is from RNAcentral.
GACGAACGCUGGCGGCGUGCCUAAUACAUGCAAGUCGAACGCUUCUUUCCUCCCGAGUGCUUGCACUCAAUUGGAAAGAGGAGUGGCGGACGGGUGAGUAACACGUGGGUAACCUACCCAUCAGAGGGGGAUAACACUUGGAAGCAGGUGCUAAUACCGCAUAACAGUUUAUGCCGCAUGGCAUAAGAGUGAAAGGCGCUUUCGGGUGUCGCUGAUGGAUGGACCCGCGGUGCAUUAGCUAGUUGGUGAGGUAACGGCUCACCAAGGCCACGAUGCAUAGCCGACCUGAGAGGGUGAUCGGCCACACUGGGACUGAGACACGGCCCAGACUCCUACGGGAGGCAGCAGUAGGGAAUCUUCGGCAAUGGACGAAAGUCUGACCGAGCAACGCCGCGUGAGUGAAGAAGGUUUUCGGAUCGUAAAACUCUGUUGUUAGAGAAGAACAAGGACGUUAGUAACUGAACGUCCCCUGACGGUAUCUAACCAGAAAGCCACGGCUAACUACGUG